Molecule: small nuclear RNA, 108 nt
Organism: Macaca fascicularis (crab-eating macaque)
Lineage: Eukaryota; Metazoa; Chordata; Mammalia; Primates; Cercopithecidae
Source: Ensembl
UUGCUUUGGGAGCACAUAAACUAAAAUUGGAACGAUACAGAGAUUAGCAUGGCUCCUGCACAAGGAUGAUAUGCAAACUCAUGAAGACUUCCAUUAAAAAACAUUUCU